UUCUUUCUAUUUCAUCCACUUCUAUUGUUAAAAACUGACGUGAUUGACAAAAUAAUCAAAAAGUUACACAUCGCAUGCCAUGUGCACCUCACGCUAAUGUAUAAGGGUAAAUUUUUAACAGUAAAAAUAGAUAAAUUUUUAAUAA
Molecule: non-coding RNA, 145 nt
Organism: Gossypium raimondii (Peruvian cotton)
Lineage: Eukaryota; Viridiplantae; Streptophyta; Magnoliopsida; Malvales; Malvaceae
Source: Rfam